RNAcentral lists this ribosomal RNA (424 nucleotides) under Verrucomicrobiota bacterium. Its description in RNAcentral is "Verrucomicrobia bacterium partial 16S ribosomal RNA". It matches the Rfam family "Bacterial small subunit ribosomal RNA", at positions 355 to 776 of the family's 1533-position model. Lineage: Bacteria; Pseudomonadati; Verrucomicrobiota. The record is from RNAcentral.
UGAGGAAUAUUGGUCAAUGGGCGAGAGCCUGAACCAGCCAAGUAGCGUGCAGGAUGACGGCCCUAUGGGUUGUAAACUGCUUUUAUAUGGGAAUAAAGUGAGGGACGUGUUCCUUAUUGCAUGUACCAUACGAAUAAGGACCGGCUAAUUCCGUGCCAGCAGCCGCGGUAAUACGGAAGGUCCAGGCGUUAUCCGGAUUUAUUGGGUUUAAAGGGAGCGUAGGCUGUUUGUUAAGCGUGUUGUGAAAUGUAAGAGCUCAACUUUUAGAUUGCAGCGCGAACUGGCAGACUUGAGUGCGCACAACGUAGGCGGAAUUCAUGGUGUAGCGGUGAAAUGCUUAGAUAUCAUGACGAACUCCGAUUGCGAAGGCAGCUUACGGGAGCGCAACUGACGCUAAAGCUCGAAGGUGCGGGUAUCGAACAGG